RNAcentral lists this ribosomal RNA (618 nucleotides) under Bacillus sp. (in: firmicutes). RNAcentral describes it as "bacterial SSU rRNA". It matches the Rfam family "Bacterial small subunit ribosomal RNA", at positions 60 to 662 of the family's 1533-position model. Lineage: Bacteria; Bacillati; Bacillota; Bacilli; Caryophanales; Bacillaceae. The record is from RNAcentral.
AGUCGAGCGAAUCGACGGGAGCUUGCUCCCUUAGAUUAGCGGCGGACGGCUGAGUAACACGUGGGUAACCUGCCUAUAAGACUGGGAUAACUUCGGGAAACCGGAGCUAAUACCGGAUAAUUUCUUCCCUCGCAUGAGGGAAGAUGGAAAGACGGUUCUGCUGUCACUUAUAGAUGGACCCGCGGCGCAUUAGCUAGUUGGUGAGGUAAUGGCUCACCAAGGCGACGAUGCGUAGCCGACCUGAGAGGGUGAUCGGCCACACUGGGACUGAGACACGGCCCAGACUCCUACGGGAGGCAGCAGUAGGGAAUCUUCCGCAAUGGACGAAAGUCUGACGGAGCAACGCCGCGUGAACGAAGAAGGCCUUCGGGUCGUAAAGUUCUGUUGUUAGGGAAGAACAAGUACCAGAGUAACUGCUGGUACCUUGACGGUACCUAACCAGAAAGCCACGGCUAACUACGUGCCAGCAGCCGCGGUAAUACGUAGGUGGCAAGCGUUGUCCGGAAUUAUUGGGCGUAAAGCGCGCGCAGGUGGUUCUUUAAGUCUGAUGUGAAAGCCCACGGCUCAACCGUGGAGGGUCAUUGGAAACUGGGGAACUUGAGUGCAGAAGAGGAAAGU